ACGGGGCGCAGCAGGCGCGAAACUUUCGCAAUGCACGCAAGUGUGACGAAGGAACUUGGAGUGACUUUUCCGAUUUAGGAAGAGUCUUUUGUCGAGUGUAAAAAGCUCGGCGAAUAAGGGGUGGGUAACACAGGUGCCAGCAGCC
Molecule: ribosomal RNA, 145 nt
Filed under: uncultured archaeon
Lineage: Archaea
Description: partial 16S rRNA
Rfam family: Archaeal small subunit ribosomal RNA
Source: RNAcentral